AUUGAACGCUGGCGGCAUGCUUUACACAUGCAAGUCGAACGGUAACAGGUUAAGCUGACGAGUGGCGAACGGGUGAGUAAUGCAUCGGAACGUGCCCGGUCGUGGGGGAUAACGCAGCGAAAGCUGCGCUAAUACCGCAUACGAUCUGAGGAUGAAAGCGGGGGACCGUAAGGCCUCGCGCGAUCGGAGCGGCCGAUGUCAGAUUAGGUAGGUGGUGGGGUAAAGGCUCACCAAGCCGACGAUCUGUAGCUGGUCUGAGAGGACGACCAGCCACACGGGGGCGGAGACACGGCCCAGACUCCAACGGGAGGCAGCAGUGGGGAAUUUUGGACAAUGGGCGCAAGCCUGAUCCAGCAAUGCCGCGUGCAGGAAGAAGGCCUUCGGGUUGUAAACUGCUUUUGUACGGAGCGAAAAGGCUCUCUCUAAUACAGGGGGCUCAUGACGGUACCGUAAGAAUAAGCACCGGCUAACUACGUGCCAGCCGCCGCCGUAA
This 493-nucleotide ribosomal RNA is filed under the name uncultured bacterium. Its description in RNAcentral is "partial 16S ribosomal RNA". It matches the Rfam family "Bacterial small subunit ribosomal RNA", at positions 29 to 523 of the family's 1533-position model. The record is from RNAcentral.